AUGGACGGAGACCGGAGGAGGGAGCUGGCCGCGAUCGCCCGGCCAGCGCGCGCGCAGGACAGCCCGGCGCGGCGUCUCAUCGCCUGGCUGCAACUUCUCUUCAAGGCGUUUGUUCAGAGGCAUAGCUGGCUGGCAAGGUGGCAGGUGGCGGGGCGCCCGGCGUUGCUGCUCCUCUUGGCCUUCUUGGUCCAGAAGAACCUGCGCCGCUCCUACCUGUCAUGGCACAAGUCGCGGUUGCAGCGGCGCGCCGCCGCGGCCGUCACCGUGCAGGCAGCCUUCCGGGCCAUGGCGGCUCGCCGCGACCUCCUUCUCCGGCGGCGGACCAGAGCAGCUCUGUACAUCCAGGCGCAAUGGCGCGCGCGCAGGGCGCUGUGGAGCUAUCUGGAGAUGAAGAGGGCCUCGGUGAUCUGCCAGUGCGCUUGGAGGCAAAGCAUUGCAAGGAGGCAGCUCGGCAAGCUCAGGCUGGCCAACGUCGAGAGGGAGAGGCUUGAUGAGCUCUGCAGGCUGCAUGAGAUGGUGGAUGUGCUGCAGCAGGCGGUCGAGGACGCGGAGGUGAGGGUCAUCGCCGAACGGGAGGCGGCGGUCAAGGCGAUAGCGGAGGCGCCUCCGGUGAUCAAGGAGACUGUGGUGUGGGUGGAGGAUGCUGACAAGGUUAACUCGUGGAACGCCGAAGUCGACCGACUCAAGGGGUUGCUGGGAGCAGAAAUGCAGGCCACCAUUGACGCCAAGAAGGCCCUGGCAAAGGCUGAACUGAGGAAUGAAAAACUGGCUAGGUUGCUUGGAGUGCAGGAGAUUAAGAACAAAACGCUGCAAGAUUCCGUCAAAAGGAUGGAGGAGAAAGCUUCCGACCUUGAAGCGGAAAACAGGAUGCUUAGACAGGCCGUUGCAUCGAUCCCUUCGGUCAAGUCACCAUCUAGUGAAAACCACAGAGCACAUGAUCUUCAGGCAACUCCAUUGAAUGAGAAAACAACAAAUGGUGCCAUUAAGCCUAUGAUAGUGGACAGGAACGGCGAUAUUCACGACGAUGACAAUGCUGAACUGCCUGCCUCAAAUGAUGCUGAAGCUGAGAAGCAGCAGCAGGAGCUGCUGAUCAAGUGCAUAUCUGAAGAUCUGGGAUUCUCGACCGGAAGGCCUAUCGCUGCAUACCUCAUCUAUCGCUGCCUGGUCCACUGGAGAUCAUUUGAAGAGGACAGAACCACAGUUUUUGACCGCAUUAUUCAGAAGAUAAGUGCUGCAAUUGAGGCGCGGGACAGCAAUGAAAAAUUAGCAUAUUGGCUAUCCAAUUCAUGCACACUGCUGCUGCUUCUCCAAAGGACACUGAAAACCAGUGGUUCAGCUGCUUCGGCGCGUCAGAGGCGAAGAACAUCGUCACUCAACUCACCAAAGGAAAACCAAGCUCCUGGUCACCCUGAGCGUUCAGUUUCCGAUGGGCGGUUGGUCGGUGCCCUGACUGACAUUUCCCAGGUUGAAGCCAAGUACCCAGCUCUUGCUUUCAAGCAACAGCUCACGGCAUUGCUGGAGAAGGUCUAUGGAGUGAUCAGGCACGACCUCAAGAAGGAGCUGUCGUCUCUGCUUGGGCUGUGCAUUCAGGCACCGAGAACAUUCGUCGUCAGCCCCAGAGGAACAGGCUCUCAAGGAACAGACAUGGCACAACAAGCCUCCAUGGCACAUUGGCAGAGCAUUAUCAAGAUCCUGACGAAUUCCCUCAACGUUUUAAAAUCAAAUUACGUGCCUCCAUUCCUGAUCUGCAAGUUAUUCACCCAAGUAUUUUCAUUCAUCAAUGUGCAACUAUUUAACAGUCUCCUGCUACGGCGCGAGUGCUGCUCAUUCAGUAAUGGGGAGUAUGUCAAAGCAGGGCUGGAUGAGCUGGAGCAUUGGUGCCAUUGGCUAACGGAAGAGUAUGCAGGUUCAUCCUGGGAUGAACUGAAGCAUAUUCGGCAGGCGGUCACGCUCUUAAUACUCGAAGAGAAGCACAGCAAGUCGCUCAAAGAGAUCACUGACGAUUUCUGCCCGGCACUCAGCAUGCAGCAGCUAUACCGGAUCAGCACGAUGUACUGCGACGACAAGUUCGGAACCUUGGGCAUCCCAUCAGAUGUCGUUGCGAGCAUGCGAGCCAAGAUGAUCGGAGGAUCGAACAGCCCAUCGGUGCAAGACGACAUCAACUCUUUCCUCCUGGAUGACGAUUUCAGCAUACCGUUCUCCGUGGACGACAUCGCCAGGCUGAUGGUGCACGUGGACAUAGCAGACAUGGAUCUGCCGCCGCUGAUCCAGGAGAAGAAUGGCUCCCCGUUUGAAGCAUGA
Molecule: ribosomal RNA, 2301 nt
Filed under: Triticum aestivum (bread wheat)
Lineage: Eukaryota; Viridiplantae; Streptophyta; Magnoliopsida; Poales; Poaceae
Description: partial small subunit ribosomal RNA
Source: RNAcentral